CACUCACGUUUUCUGCACCGGCUUGCGCCGCUUGCGGCUGGCAUAGGUGAUGUUGGCGCCGCUGCUCAUGGUGCCCGCGCCCUGCCCGCUCCACCUGCGUCCCGGAGGCGGCGCCCGGCCCGCGCUGCGCCCAGUCACAAAGAAACUGGGAGUAUUAAUACCUGGUCCCAGAUCUCCAGCUAAGACAGAGUCCAGAGAACUUUGCAGUAUUGUCUAGCGUGAAGCAAGUACAUCAGGAUCUGGGACUCUAGAGGGAAACGUGACAUUUCCAUGACACGGGGACGAGUUGGUUCCAGCUUUGUAGCUGCCUCGUGUUGCGUUUGGCUGUGGUCAAGGAUCAUUGGCGUCCUCUCUUUAAAUGCAUUUGCACACGUGCUGUGACAGUCUGUGAGGCACUGCUGGCCCACUGCUUCGUUGGGGAGAAUCUGUUCAAUGUUUGUCUGUGUGACUCGCCUGGCUCAGAAGUUUUGAGUCAGAAGUGAAACACGUAGCUAAGGCAAAGAGAAUUUUAAGAAGUGAAACCUGAAACAAUAAAACCAUUCAUAACACAAAAUUACUUAUGCUAUUAUUGUAAGUGACACUUACAGGGUAUUUACUACAUGUCAACUAUGAAAUACUUCAUAAAAAUUCGACUGGUCUAAGAGAUUUUCGACGCAGCGGUCACUGCAGCUGCAACUGUACCUAUGUGACUUGGCUGGCGAUCUCCCAGCCAAGUGGGAUUCUGCUGACCUGUGAAUACCACACUCUUCCACAGAACUGGGCACUUCCCUUACCGCCAGGCUUCUCCAGCUUCUUGGUAAUUGCUGUUUCCCACAGUAGGGAGCACCAUCUGCAUCUGCUGUGGAUAGAAUUGCCUUCUCUGCAGUAAUCCAACAACCCAGAGACGUGUAGGAAGAGCAGUUCACCAAUCUCUGUUGAAUGGAUUAAUCUCUAAAGAAGCAAUACACUUAAGAAGCAGCGAGACUUAAAGAUGGUGCAGACGAACAGUCUGUGAACAUUCUUCUUCCAGGCUUCCACAGGGAUCCCUGCUCCCCGACACCAUCACCCAAGCCUGGCUUUUGAAAGAGGCGCAGCUAGGAAGUGCACAGACUGAGAGACAAAGCCAGGCUCUGCACAGAGAAGCCAUGCUCCAUAAUAUACUAUAGGAAGCACUGUAACUCUUUAGUAAAGGCUCGAGAUUCGAGAUUCUGGAUUCAUUCUUCUGAGCAAGGGCAUUCUUGAACACACUGCCCUUGGGGCAGGCUGAUUUUCUCCAUCUCCUUUAUUCCUCAGGGCUUUGUUGCCAACCCAAAUAAGAACAAAUAAAGGAAACAGAGCAGCUGAUUUAGGAUUUACUGAUCCCACCCUUCGCCCUCCCCUCUACCCUUCCACUCUUCUGUAACAGCACCCCACCUUGGGUUCACCAUGCUUAAUUUGUUAGAGCGAAGUCAGGGAAGAGGAGUGGUCUACUCUGUGGAGAUGCUCAAUAAGCUCGGGAAAGGUCAUACAGUUAGCUUGUGAAAACCGACUCAGGCCUUUCUGAAUGGACUGGUCACCAGGUGAAGGUCUGUCUGGAAGAUUAAGCUAUGGAGGGUGAUGUGGGUGGAGCCAUGGGGAAAAUUAGGUGCUGACAAGAAGCACAGAGGAUUUGUGGCUGUGGAUAUAGCUCAGAAGGUGAGCCCUGAGUGUGUGCAAGGCUCUGUGUUCAGAGUGGGGAGCAGGACAAAAGGGGAGAGGGAGAAGGAGAGGAGGAAAUAAUUAAACUUUUAUGAAGAGCAUACAUAAUAAUUAAUGCAAUACCACAGUUUUACAAAUAUAUAUCCUUAGCUAGAAAUAAUGUUUGCUACAUCUUUAAAGCAUGAAAUGUAGAAACUUAUUGGAUAUUUUCAUGGUAGGGUAGGAAUAAGCUCAAUUUACUCAACACAAUAGGUGUUUUUCUGCUUCUGUGCAUGAGUGUGUGUUAUAUUUGUGUAUGUGUUCAUCUGUGUGUGUUGGGGUGCACAGGUAUGGGUGUGCAUGCCCAUGGAGUCCAAAAUUUGAUGUUGGGUAACUUCUUCAAUCACCCUCUGCCUUUUAAAAAUUAUUUUAUUUUUAAUUGCUGGUAUGUGUGUCUAUAUGUGUGUAUGUAUUCAUGAAUCCAGGUGCCUACAAAGGCCAGAGGAAGGUAUCAGAUCCCCUAGAGCUGGAGUGACAGGUGGCUGUCACCUGCCUGAUGUGGGUUCUGGGGGCUGAACUUGGGUUGGCUGCAAUGACAAUAUAUAAUUUAUAACUGCCGAGCCAUCUCUCCAGCUUGAUCCGCCUUAAUUUUUGAGAUGUGUUUUCCUUUUGAACCUUAAAAUCACGGCUAAUGGCACACUAACUGGCCAGUGCACUUCAGGGAGCCUCUUGUCUCUACCCCCUACACUUAAUGAAUUACACGUACCCCGUUUUUAUACAGGGUUUGAGAUCCAGAUUCCAGUCCCCAGGAUUGAGUGGCAAACACUUUACUGACUGAGCCACCCCCCCCACACACACACACCAGUCCUAGCUUUAAGAAUAGACAACAACGUGAAGAAAACAGCAGAAAUCCUACAGGGUUCACAAGAGCUCAGGAAGAAAGACCAUGAGGUGAAGACUCACUGCCAUGAACAUCAUCAUGGAAGCGAUCACUAGAAAUAAAUUUACCAAGAGAGACAAGCAAAGACACCUGCAGGGGAGGGGUGUGGGAGGGGAGAGGGAGGAGAGGUGAAAUAGAGACGUCUUCUGUAGGAGCCUCUCUUAUUCUAAAUUCCCAACCAAAAGAUGGGAGUUUCACAACGGCAAUAAUUAAACUCUCGGACAACAAAGGAAUCAAGAGGAGAUAAUUAAGAAAAAGCUUUGAAUUAAUCUAGAAGAAAGGGCCCCAAGCACAGCGGCGUUUGGCUGAUGGAAAGCAGCCAGAAGCUGAUUAAGCAAGGGGAGGGGAGGUUAAGGGAGGAGGGGAGGUUAAGGGAGGAGGUGAGCACACAUUACUUUAUAAAAGAUGUGGGGCAUAAAAAGUAGGAAAGAAAUAUAAUUGUGGGAAAUGUCAAGGGCAUUAGGUUAACACAUAAAAAAGCAAUGCCAUGAUAAAGAAGAAUCUAAUCUCCCCACAUUCUGAACUCCUCCCUCAUGGCAGGGUAGAGCCUUGGGAAGCUCAUUAACCCCGAGAGGGCACUGGGGUAUUGUCUAAAUCACCGCAGCUCCUGUGGCUGACAAAGCCUAGGAGCUAUCAUUCCCAGCACAAGGCAGAGGAUUUCCUGCCAUAGUCCAGAGACUCCUUCAGAGAUCAGGACACCAUUCAAGACAGAGUGAGGACCCGCGUUCCUAGAGAAGUACGCAUUUACAAGUAACUGUCAAAUUCACACACAAAUUGCCAGGCUGAUCAUCACUGGGUUAUUUUAUA
Molecule: long non-coding RNA, 3382 nt
Organism: Alexandromys fortis (reed vole)
Lineage: Eukaryota; Metazoa; Chordata; Mammalia; Rodentia; Cricetidae
Exons: 3
Source: RefSeq, a predicted model, not a curated record